Molecule: unclassified non-coding RNA, 377 nt
Filed under: uncultured bacterium
Lineage: Bacteria
Description: contains 16S-23S intergenic spacer region
Source: RNAcentral
UCCGAGUUGACCCCGGCAGUCUCCUAUGAGUCCCCGCCAUAACGCGCUGGCAACAUAGAACGAGGGUUGCGCUCGUUGCGGGACUUAACCCAACACCUCACGGCACGAGCUGACGACAGCCAUGCACCACCUGUGAAGGUGCUCCGAAGGGAGGCCGUGUUUCCACGACUGUCACCUACAUGUCAAGCCCAGGUAAGGUUCUUCGCGUUGCGUCGAAUUAAACCACAUGCUCCGCUGCUUGUGCGGGUCCCCGUCAAUUUCUUUGAGUUUUAACCUUGCGGCCGUACUCCCCAGGCGGAUGACUUAACGCGUUAGCUGCGCCACCGAAACGCUAAGCGCCCCGACAGCUAGUCAUCAUCGUUUACGGCGUGGACUAC